Molecule: ribosomal RNA, 355 nt
Filed under: uncultured bacterium
Lineage: Bacteria
Description: partial 16S ribosomal RNA
Rfam family: Bacterial small subunit ribosomal RNA
Source: RNAcentral
CCUACGGGCGGCAGCAGUGGGGAAUAUUGCACAAUGGGGGGAACCCUGAUGCAGCGACGCCGCGUGCGUGAAGAAGUAUUUCGGUAUGUAAAGCUCUAUCAGCAGGGAAGAAAAUGACGGUACCUGACUAAGAAGCCCCGUCUAACUACGUGCCAGCAGCCGCGGUAAUACGGAGGGGGCAAGCGUUAUCCGGAUUUACUGGGCGUAAGGGGAGCGUAGACGGUUAUGCAAGUCUGAAGUGAAAGCCCAAGGCUCAACCAUGGGACUGCUUUGGAAACUGUAAAACUGGAGUGCAGGAGAGGUAGGCGGAAUUCCUAGUGUAGCGGUGAAAUGCGUAGAUAUGAGGAGGAACACC